Molecule: ribosomal RNA, 254 nt
Filed under: uncultured bacterium
Lineage: Bacteria
Description: partial 16S ribosomal RNA
Rfam family: Bacterial small subunit ribosomal RNA
Source: RNAcentral
CGGAGGGGCUAGCGUUGUUCGGAAUUACUGGGCGUAAAGCGCACGUAGGCGGACCGGAAAGUCAGAGGUGAAAUACCCAGGGCUCAACCUUGGAACUGCCUUUGAAACUAUCGGUCUGGAGUUCGAGAGAGGUGAGUGGAAUUCCGAGUGUAGAGGUGAAAUUCGUAGAUAUUCGGAGGAACACCAGUGGCGAAGGCGGCUCACUGGCUCGAUACUGACGCUGAGGUGCGAAAGCGUGGGGAGCAAACAGGAUU